AACGAACGCUGGCGGCAUGCCUAACACAUGCAAGUCGAACGAUACCUUCGGGUCUAGUGGCGCACGGGUGCGUAACGCGUGGGAACCUGCCCUUAGGUUCGUAAUAACUCCCCGAAAGGGGUGCUAAUACCGGAUAAUGUCUUCGGACCAAAGAUUUAUCGCCUUUGGAUGGGCCCGCGUUGGAUUAGCUAGUUGGUAGGGUAAAAGCCUACCAAGGCGACGAUCCAUAGCUGGUCUGAGAGGAUGAUCAGCCACACUGGGACUGAGACACGGCCCAGACUCCUACGGGAGGCAGCAGUGGGGAAUAUUGGACAAUGGGCGAAAGGCUGAGACAGCAAUGCCGCGUGAGUGAUGAAGGCCUGAGGGUUGUAAAGCUCUUUUACCCGGGAUGAUAAUGACAGUACCGGGAGAAUAAGCGCCGGCUAACUCCGUG
This 433-nucleotide ribosomal RNA is filed under the name uncultured bacterium. RNAcentral's name for it is "partial 16S ribosomal RNA". It matches the Rfam family "Bacterial small subunit ribosomal RNA", at positions 29 to 507 of the family's 1533-position model. The record is from RNAcentral.